Molecule: ribosomal RNA, 465 nt
Filed under: uncultured bacterium
Lineage: Bacteria
Description: partial 16S ribosomal RNA
Rfam family: Bacterial small subunit ribosomal RNA
Source: RNAcentral
CCUACGGGUGGCAGCAGUGGGGAAUAUUGCGCAAUGGGCGAAAGCCUGACGCAGCGACGCCGCGUGAGGGAUGAAGGUCUUCGGAUCGUAAACCUCUGUCAGCAGGGAAGAUCGGUCACUGUGCUAAUCAGCAGUGAAUUGACGGUACCUGCAAAGGAAGCACCGGCUAACUCCGUGCCAGCAGCCGCGGUAAUACGGCGGGUGCGAGCGUUAAUCGGAAUUACUGGGCGUAAAGCGCUCGUAGGCGGUAUGUCAAGUCAAGGGUGAAAGCCCCGCGCUCAACGUGGGAACUGCCUUUGAAACUGGCAAACUGGAGUGUGUGAGAGGAGAGUGGAAUUCCAGGUGUAGGAGUGAAAUCCGUAGAUAUCUGGAGGAACAUCAGUGGCGAAGGCGACUAUCUGGCACAUAACUGACGCUGAGGAGCGAAAGCGUGGGUAGCAAACAGGAUUAGAUACCCGGGUAGUC